AGCCACAGCAACGCCAGAUCUGAGCAGCAUCUGUGACCUACACCACAGCUCAUGGCAACACCGGAUCCUUAACCCACUGAGCAAGGCCAGGGAUUGAACCCGCAACUUUGUGGUUCCUAGUUGGAUUCCUUUCUGUUGCGCCUCAAUGGUAAUUCCAGAAUUUGUUAUUUCUGAUGAAGCUGUGAAGAAGGAGAUAUGCAGGUAUAAUCUUUUGGAGAAAGAAGUGGGGAGAGAGGUCUCAAGAAGCAGCCUAAUAAGUUUCAUUAUCUUUACCCAUCAGAGGACUUUGAAAACUCUGGGUACAUGGAAGUAUCCUGGUGCUAGAUCUUCAACUUUACAUUUUUAGAAUUUUUUUUUUAAGGCAAGGAUUCCUUUGCCUCGGGUAUUAAAACGUCUUUGGCUUUCCCCCAUCUGCCCACCCCAUCUAUGGACAGACACACGGAGUCCUGGGAGAUACUAUGAUGAGAGAGUGAAAAGAAAAUGUUCUUUCAUUGGAACAGUUUCAAUUUUGUUGUUGUAGAGAACAAGGCUCAAGUUGGCAGCAGCCUGCACAGCACACACCUGAGAGUGUGGCCUCCUGAGAUGCUGGCCCUGGGCAUCUGGGAGCCCACACCUGGGAGGUGGCUGGCAAUACCACCACCACAGGGAGCGCUUGUGUUUAAGGCAGCUCUGGAGGUGCACAGGUUGGGUCCCCUCAAGGAAGAACUUACUGUUUGGCUGCAGGACAGGUAACAGCCUCCAGCUUCUAGAACGCUUGGGACCCACCCUGGCUUCCUGGGCAAGGUCACCUCUUCCUGGACAGGCUUCAGACAGGCUUGUCUCAGAGCUCCCACUGGGUUGGCCUUGGCUUGAUCAGAUCUGCCCUGUGGUCUGAAAUGCUCUUACCCAGUCCUGCUUCCUCCUCCUUCCUGUCACCAGGAAAGAUCUAUCUUCCUGGGGGUGCUGAAGCCCAUUAGCAGUUCUCCUCACCCCUAUGUUCACAGCUCACCCUCCAACACAUCACUGGCACCCUGAUGUCUCAGGGUCUGCUUUCCAGAGGACCUAACUGACCCAAUGAAUUAUCCAUUUUUAAACAUUCUGAAAAACUACCCGUAUAAAUCAAGUUUGUUUUAAAAGGCAGCCUAGAUGUACCUGGUGCAGAGGUGGCUAAGCAGUAGAGAGAGAGUCACAUCUGACACUCAGUGAGUUCUCCCCACUUCCAAUUCCAUUCCAAUUCCAUGCCUCCCAGAAGCCUUCAUUGGUGUGUGUCCGUCUCCGCAUUUAUCCAGGUACAUAACUAUAGAGACAAUUUUUGUAUUACACAAGUAACUGCAUGUUGCAUAUAUUGUUUUGCACCUAGAUUAUUCUCUUUUUGGCCACACCCACAGCAUGUGGACAUUCCUUGCCCAGGGAUCAAACCCACACCAGAGCUGUAACCAGAGCCACAGCAGUGACAAUGCUGGAUCCUUAACUCACUGAGUCAUGAGGGAACUCCUAGAUUAUUUUUUAUCUAGUAAUAUGUCUUAGAAAUUUUCCCAGGCCAGGACAAGGACUAUGCCUCCAUCUUUUUGACAGCUGUCUAAUAUUCUAUUGUGUGAAAAUACAUGCAUUUUUUUUCUUUCCACCCUUCUAUGUCUUUGCUUUUUUUCUCCCAGAUUUGUUUUAUUGAAAUGAAAAAAAUUAUAGAAAUUGCACACAGUAACCCAAAUUCAAAUGAUGUAAAAUGAAAAGUAAAUGCUACCAUUCUGCACCUCUGUAUGCAAAUCCCACCCUCAGGAGACCACACCUUUUAAUGGUUUUGGUGUUUUUUUUAAGUAUAGUUGGUUUACAGUGUUUCUUCAAUUUCUGUUGUACAGCAAAGUGACCCGACCACACACAGUUCUCUGUGCUGUACAGUAGAGUUUUUAUCAAAAUAAUAAUUAUCAUAGCUGAGAAAGGAAAUGGCAAUAAGGACUUAUAACGAGUAGCAGUAAUUUCAUGGGCACAGGAGGGAGCAAAGGCAUGAACACAUGCUCGGUUCACCAUAUUGAACCAACGUCUGACUGGGAAGGAUGUUACUUAAGGCCAUGCCAGUGGUCUGAGUUCCAGUCUCUCUCUGAAACCUCUGGCUGUGCAAACUUGGGCCCGAUGUGCUUCAUUUUCUUCAGUUCAACUAUUAAAAUGAGGAGUUCUCUUGUGAUGCAGCAGGUUAAGGAUGCGAUUUUGUAACUGCAGCAGCUUGGGUUGCUGCUGUGGCGCAGGUUCCAUCGUUGGCCUGGGAAAUUCCACAUGCCGUGGGUGCAGCCAAAAUAUAAAUCAAUCAAUAAAUGCGAUAGGUCCUGCACGUGUAGGAUUUCCAUGAAGUAGAGAGAAUGGCCUGUACCGUACGAUAUGGCAGGAUGAGGAUUGUACCUGGAGCCCGUGCUGACCCCAGGAUGACCAUCAGCUCAGACCCGUCUCAGGUAUCAGUGUAAAUGGGACUGCUCAGAGCUCCUCCCCGAGUUGGGUGAGGACUCAGUUAAUGGAAUAGGGCACGUGGUGGCCAGUUUCUCUCUCUUCUGUUAGGAGUGGACGAUUGACUUGCACAUGAGGAUUUUCUACAGUUUUCUGUGGCAGCACCCACAGUCCCUGAGCGUCUCGAUUGCUUAAAGAACGCUAGCGGGUGCUACAGUUGUUGCGUGCCCCUAAAAACUUCCUUCUUUGAUAAGGAAAACCAUUUCUAAUUCUAACAAUGACAGAGAAAUGCAGGAGGAUACAAAUUUCUUCUAUUUCAAAUUCCUGUCUGAUUAUUGAAUACCCAGGCACUUCUAGCUAUAGGACAGCAGAUCUGGUGGUUUAAGGACAGUUUCCUCCAGGUCACAAAUGUGUGUCACUAGCAUCAAAGCACACAGCAGCCAGGGGAGUGUAUACGGAACUGGUACCAGGAAACAGGGAAACUGGUCAAGGAGCAGCAUCUACAUCUGGGCAAGGUUGUCAACAUUCAGACUUGAAGUCUAAGCCAGUCUAGACCCAUCACUGGCGUGAGAAAGAAAACUAGAGAUGUUUUUGGUCAUACAUAUGCAGCAGGGCAGAAAGAAAGCCUUGACGACUUAACACAGAUUCACUAUGAAAUUUUCCAUCUAUUUGUGUUUUAAGUAGAGGCCAAAAGCCUCUGAAAAGAUGACAAUUUAUGAGAAUUCUUAGAACCAACAUGACUUGGAUUCACUUUUUCCCAAAUGGUUUGCUGCUUAGUACACCUGCUUCUUCUUUUUAUAGAGGUGGAGUCUAAUCAUACAAUUCAUAUUCAUGGAAAAUCUGAGUCAUGUAUUCUGCUGGGUCGUCUAAGAAAUAUAAGCAUUGUUUCAUUUUAGUUCCUGAUAUGAAUCAAGGAAAACCUGGGCUCCAAGGUCACAUUGAGGUCACUAGACACAGAUAAUAAAUUUAAUUUCUUUUUUUUCCUUUUUGGGUUGUCCCAGCAGCACAUGGAAGUUCCCAGGCCAGGGAUAGAAUGCAAGCUGCAGCUGAGACCUACGCCACAGCUGUGGCAAUGCUGGAUCCACUGUGCCAGGGCAGAGAUUGAACCUUUUGUGUUGCAGAGACAAUGCUGGAGCUUUAAUCCACUGUGCCACAGUGGGAACUCCUGGGAACAGAUUUCUAGGGUAGGAAUGGGGAGAUUGCAGCUAGAAGCAGACUAGGGAAAAGGAACUACUGCGAUGUUUCUCGUGCUGAAGAGGUUGUGGACGCCUUGUGCUCCUGGGGUUUAGCAAAACAAAAUUUAAAAACAACUGCAUUGCCUUUUAAAUAAUAUCACAGAUUUUGCUCAUACAAGCAGAAAUGCAGGCGCUGAAAUGAAGUGGAGACACACAGCUACAAAAUGACCAGCAAGGACAUUUAGAAUAUGUUUAUACCAAUAUUUGAGGUUAUAGAUGAUAUAAAAUGGAAGAAGCAGCUUUUAUGGAAAAGGUCCAUACAUCUUAUAAUAAGUCUAUAGACCCCAGAAGCCCAGUUUGAAAAUCACAUUCUCUUUGGCUUGAGUCUGCAUUCUUCCCUCCCAUGGGACUUGCUGUGAUGAGAAGCCUGGUCUCUUCUAGAGGAGGCGUUUCUCCGGCCGGACCCACUCUCCUCCCCAACUUUAGAAGGUUAUUUGGGGAUGGGCUUGGGGCGAAUCCCUUCGAGGCUAUAGGGAGAAUACUUGCCCCAGGGUUCAUCUUUUCACGCUGUUUGCUGGUUAACCUUGAAAGCUACGCUCAGACUGCAGGUAAGGGGUAAUGACUGUCUAAGUGGAGCGCUCCUACUGUUUCUGUUCGUUUGUUUUUAAGCUACUCGUUGAGGUAUAUUGAUAUGUAAGAAGCUGUGCGUGGAGUUCCCCUUGUGGCGCAGUGGUUAACGAAUCCCACUAGGAACCAUGAGGUUGUGGGUUCGGUCCCUGCCCUUGCUCAGUGGGUUAACGAUCUGGCGUUGCUGUAAGCUGUGGUGUAGGUUGCAGACACGGCUCAGAUCCCGCGUUGCUGUGGCUCUGGUGUAGGCCGGUGGCUACAGCUCCAAUUCGACCCCUAGCCUGGGAACCUCCAUAUGCUGCGGGAGCAGCCCAAAGAAAUAGCGAAAAGACAAAAAAAAAAAAAAAAAAAAAAAAAAAAAAGCUGUGCAUGUCUAGUGUACACAGCUUGAUGAGUGUGGGGAUAAACAUAUACCUUCGAAACCAUCACACAGACAAACCCAUAACCCCCCCGAGUUUUCUCCCUCUCACUAUUACUACUAAUUUUUUACUUUUUAUUGUUAGGGCCGCACCUGUGGCAUAUGGAGGUUCCCAGGCUAGGGGUCGAAUCAGAGCUACAGCUGCCAGCCUACACCACAGCCACAGCAACGCAGGAUCUGAGCCACAUCUGCCACUUACACCACAGCUCACAGCAGCACCAGAUCCUUAACCCACAGAACAAGGCCAGAGAUCAAACCCACAUCCUCAUGGGAUACUGGUCGGAUUCGUUUCCGCUGUGCCACAAUGGGAACUCCUAUUAUUAAUGCUUUACCUACUCUCUUGUAAAAAUUUCAGCAUACAAUACAGCUCUGCUAGCUAUAGGCGCUAUGCUAUAAAUGGCCAGGAUUUAUUUAUCUUGCGUAAAGUUUGGUACACUUUGACCGUCCCCCUCCCCCAUUUCUUCCUCUCCCCAGCCCCUGGUAACCACCAUCCCACUCUCUGCUUCUACGAGUUUGAUUAUUUUAGAUUCCACCUGUAAGUGACAUCAUAUAGAGAAGAGAGAGGGAUUUGGGGCUAAGGGUCAAAUCUCAUGUAUAAGAUGUGCGUGUGGGUAUAUUAGAAAAGGGACGUUCAGGAGCUAAAGGUACUCUUUAUGAAUCUGAGGUAGUGGAAUGAGCCAAAGAAUCCUGGUGGAACCCAUCAUGGCAAAUAAGGCACAUGGAUCUAUCUGCAAGGGUAGUUCUCAGCCCCAGGGGCAUAGCACCCCUCUGCCUUGUGAAAACAGAUGCUCCCCUCAUGAAAGCAUCAUGGAAGCGUCUUCCAUUUCUCUGCUAUUUAAAAACUGAAACUUCUGACAUUAGCUUGGCUCAUUGACAAGUCAGCCAGGUUUCCAAGUUUUUCAUUCUCUAUGAGCUGGGUUUUUAUGCAGCCUGGACUGAAAGAGGCGUCAGUGAAUGGCCUGGGGGGUGCUCUAAGACCGGGAACUGUGGUUGGGAUGCUCGUUUAAGACGAGAGGUUUUGAAACCCUGGACAUUGUUUUAACUUGAAACUGCAAUGAUGAAAGUACAUAAUUGCAAAGCCGUAGCAUUAGUCCUAGACCUCAAAGACUAUUCAAGGGACGUUUGAAUAUUUUCUAUGAGGUAAACCCAUCAUUAUAGCAUAUUAUCUAAAAAUCUGAGCUCAUGGGAGAUUUCCUAAUGUAGGUGUUACAAUUUUAUGUUUUUUUUCCAGAGCCUUUUUCCUUAUUAUCUGGAUUAUUGAUAAUUGCUUUUUCGAGCA
Molecule: long non-coding RNA, 5911 nt
Filed under: Sus scrofa (pig)
Lineage: Eukaryota; Metazoa; Chordata; Mammalia; Artiodactyla; Suidae
Description: lncRNA (ENSSSCG00025030691.1)
Source: RNAcentral